ACGUAGGGUGCAAGCGUUAAUCGGAAUUACUGGGCGUAAAGCGUGCGCAGGCGGUUUUGUAAGUCUGUCGUGAAAGCCCCGGGCUCAACCUGGGAAUUGCGAUGGAGACUGCAAGGCUUGAAUCUGGCAGAGGGGGGUAGAAUUCCACGUGUAGCAGUGAAAUGCGUAGAUAUCUGGAGGAAUACCGGUGGCGAAGGCGGCAUCCUGGACCAUUACUGACGCUGAUGCGCGAAAGCUAGGGGAGCAAACGGGA
This 253-nucleotide ribosomal RNA is filed under the name uncultured prokaryote. Its description in RNAcentral is "partial 16S ribosomal RNA". It matches the Rfam family "Bacterial small subunit ribosomal RNA", at positions 525 to 777 of the family's 1533-position model. The record is from RNAcentral.